CUCACAAGUUUGCCGAUGUUCCUACUAUCUUUCUUUGAGGUUCCAGUUGGGGUCAGGAAAAGGCUGGACUUCUAUCGGUCAAGAUUUUUUUGGCAGAGUGAUGAUCUUAAGAGAAAGUAUAGACUCGCCAAGUGGGAUAUUAUUUGUCGUCCCAAGGAUCAGGGGGGGUUGGGUAUCGAGAAUCUUGAGGUCAAGAAAAGAUGCCUGCUUAGUAAGUGGCUCGAUAAGUUAUCAGUUGGGACUGAUGCGACUUGGGCACAGAUACUUCGUAACAAGUAUCUGCAAUCCAAAACUUUAUCACAGGUGACAAUGAGACCAACUGAUUCGCCAUUUUGGAAGGGGCUUAUGAGAGUUAAGUCAGCCUUCUUUAAUAGAACUAAGUUUAUAGUCGGCGAUGGUAACGAUACUCGCUUCUGGGAGGACACUUGGCUUGGGGAGACACCUUUGGCAUUACAGUACCCAACUCUGUAUCGUAUUGUGCAUCGCCGUGAUGCGCUUGUGGCAACGAUUAUGCAGGCCACCCCCCUUAAUAUUCAGUUUAGGAGGGUGCUUGUUGGUAAUAGAUGGGAAGCUUGG
This 576-nucleotide ribosomal RNA is filed under the name Triticum aestivum (bread wheat). Its description in RNAcentral is "partial small subunit ribosomal RNA". Lineage: Eukaryota; Viridiplantae; Streptophyta; Magnoliopsida; Poales; Poaceae. The record is from RNAcentral.